RNAcentral lists this long non-coding RNA (215 nucleotides) under Gossypium barbadense (sea-island cotton). Its description in RNAcentral is "long non-coding RNA (GBAR_LNC019182)". Lineage: Eukaryota; Viridiplantae; Streptophyta; Magnoliopsida; Malvales; Malvaceae. The record is from RNAcentral.
AAAUAGAAUUACUUCCUCAACAUUGUCUUUAGGUGGUGUGAUCUUCAUCAAAUCAAUUACUUAAUUUGUGGGGUUCGGAAGAAUCGGAAAGAUUUCCACUAAACUUUUUAAAUUGCUCCUCAAGUGUUGCUCCUUAUAUAGCUUUCGCGCUCCAACCAAUUAAUCUCCAAAAACAUAUUUAAAUAUGCAAAAUUUGGUUAAGCAGGAGAAAAGAA